Long non-coding RNA from Pan paniscus (pygmy chimpanzee), 2700 nucleotides. Lineage: Eukaryota; Metazoa; Chordata; Mammalia; Primates; Hominidae. The record is from Ensembl.
CAGGUGACCAGGGUCCUAGGGAUGAGGCUCAGCUCCACCCCACUCUGUAAGCCACCUGCAUCAGCAGAGGUGCUAGCUGGAGGUGAGGGGAAUAUGGAAUGGGUAGAGGUGGAGUGAGGGGAUGGGUAGCAGUUAUAGAGUCAAGACCAGCUAUAGCUACAGGGACUAUAGUUCCUCCCACUAACCUUCCUUUUGAAGUUUCUCCAGGACAAGAGAAAAAGAGAAUCCUGAAGGCAUGGUUCCCAGACGGGGUGAAAUAGUUAAUACAGAAAUUCUUCUAACUCAGGCCCAAACAUCUCCACACUGUCCCCAUCCUCAAGCCCUGCCGUCCACUCCACCCCUAUUUGUACAGGAGCCAUUUAAUAGAGCAAACAGUAUUCGUUUGGCAGUUUAUUUGUGCUGCACCAAAAAAAACAGAGAAGCCAAAACAGAAAGAAAAAGGAAAAACAAAAAACCAGAAAUGGAGAAGUGUUCCCUUUCCAGACAAUCAUGUAAGUAUCCGUAAUUAACUUAUCUCUUUUUAUAGAAGUUAUGGAUUUUUGUGUUUAAACACUGACCACAAAAAGUGACUAGUAAAAUCUCUGAAAAGUUAAAGGAAGUGCUUAAAUUCCAAUUUUAGUAAGCUUGUGUCCAAUUCAAUUUUCUGUGAUUUUUAACAGAAAUGGAAUGUUGGGGAGAACUGGGAAAAAAGGGUAGUAUUCUGGUUUGCAUGGUAGACCCCAUGUGAACAGGUGUUUAAAAUUCACUGCUAGGUAAACUAGAUUCAAAUUCAAAACUUUUGUCAAGCAAUGAAUAUUUCAAACAUUUGCUUUUUUUUUUUUUUUUUUUUUUUUUCUUUGACAAAACCUUGUUUUUUCCCCCUUCCCUUUUUUUUGUUUUUUUCCCUAGCAGGAAGGCACAAUCAUUCUACAAUACUGCCAAAUAUAACAAACAUCUACAGAUGGGUUGGUCUGCAGCUGGAGGCUUUAACUUUGUAGUAUUUAUUUGAAAUAUCCAAGCCAGCAGAGCAGGGCUAAAGCACAGUGGGCACAAUUCACAAUGUUUUGGCUCUGGAGCAAAUAGCAGUUGAACUUAGUUUUUUCAGCUAAAAUGGAAUUUAUGCAGAUGUGCUUUGCACUAAAUUCAUUAAACAAUUACAUCCUGGUGCAGUUUUCACAUUUUUGUAAAGGAUCUGCAUAAGCACUAAUUAGAUCUAAAACAAUGUUACUGGGCAAAUUACAGUGCCGAUUGUUCGCCUCGGCUUGCAUUCCACAUCUGCUUUGCAAUGAUGAUGAUAAUUUAGGUGCAAGCAAUACAAAUGCCGGUUUUUGUUACAUUUAGUAGAAAUAUUUAUUUAAAACAUACUAUAGAUUAAUUGAUAAUGUAACCAUUUUUAAAGAGCCUCCAAAUGUUUUCUCACGGACAUUGAGUGGAAAAAUGCAAUCUGUGAAAAUACAGUAGCUGAAACUUCUCACAGUUGCUAACUGGCAUUUCCUCAGUGAGGUUUGCUAUUGAAAGGCAACUUUGCAUUUCAUUUGGCUUCAAGUACAAGCUGGGUUCGCUGAAUUACAGCAGUGCCUUUGAGAGUGCAGCGGCAUUUGACAUAAAGGCAUAAAGACUUUCCUAAACAGCUCCCAGUCGUGGCAACCCACGCUACCUCUUCUUUGGUCAAUCAGUUUCAAAGGCUGACUUAGUAUUGGAAAAUUAUUUAAUGGCUUAAGUAUUUCAGAUGUUAGAGUAUGUUUUCUUUCUUCCAUAUUCAUCUUCUGUCUACUUUGUAUAUCAUGAAGUAUAAGAAGGCAUAUUAACGUUUAAACAUAAAAUCAAUUCUGCUGAAGCGAGGACAUUCAGACAGGGUUUCUAUGGCAACUUUGAAUGUACCAACUUAAUUCAGGGUUUGCUCCAACCCAGAGUCACCUCCAUUAUCACUCUCACCCUAGACAUUCUUUAACUCGCCUGGCCAGCCAUGUAGUCGGGAAUCCUGAAGUGCGAUCACUCUGCUCCUGCCCAGGCUAACGGCUACGACGACUAGCUAGCAUUAUCUCUCUCCCUGGGAAGGAGGCCAACCUGGUGAAUCAGUUUGGCUUCUGGUUUCCUAAAAAUCACUCCUGUUGUUUGACUUUUUGAAUGGGUUACUUUUAUUGUUUGAUAGAGCCAGACAUACAACAGCAAGCUUGGUGCCAGCACUGACAAAGAUGAAAAGGCAAAAUGAAACUCCAAGGGUAAUUGUCAUGAAAGUCCAAGUUUGGACAUAUCUCCUCUCUACGAGGGAACACUGUGCUAAUUAUUAAUGCAAAGCACAGCCAGCAUUCAUGGUGCUAUCAAAAUUUAGCAUCCAUGUUCAUUCAUUCAGUUUACUGGAGUGCCUCCCUAACCUUUACGCGGGACUUUCCAUUUCAUUCUGCAGUUUUUGCUAGGUAAGAGGGAUUGGAACUAGAAGAGUGAUAAUUUCUUCUACAGACUUAAUUGGUAAGCCUGAAAAUGCUGUGCUGGUGGAAUAUGAAAUUAUAUCCUCUUUGAAGGAAAACAUAAUUUAGCACUGGGGCUUUGGGUUGUUUGAAGGUAAAAUGUAUUAUGCCUGUGGAAAAGGCAAAGCAAUAUUUGUAAUAAAAGACGUCAUUUUUUAAAGACUCAGAAAAAAGAGAAUAAUUAGUAUUUCCUAACUUGAACCCAAAAUUCUUCUUGAUUCACCCUGGGAAGAUGGUUGGUUCUAUAUUUUAU